This 496-nucleotide ribosomal RNA is filed under the name uncultured bacterium. RNAcentral's name for it is "partial 16S ribosomal RNA". It matches the Rfam family "Bacterial small subunit ribosomal RNA", at positions 28 to 506 of the family's 1533-position model. The record is from RNAcentral.
GAUGAACGCUGGCGGCGUGCCUAAUACAUGCAAGUCGAGCGAACAGACGAGGAGCUUGCUCCUCUGACGUUAGCGGCGGACGGGUGAGUAACACGUGGAUAACCUACCUAUAAGACUGGGAUAACUUCGGGAAACCGGAGCUAAUACCGGAUAACAUGUUGAACCGCAUGGUUCAACAGUGAAAGACGGUCUUGCUGUCACUUAUAGAUGGAUCCGCGCCGCAUUAGCUAGUUGGUAAGGUAACGGCUUACCAAGGCAACGAUGCGUAGCCGACCUGAGAGGGUGAUCGGCCACACUGGAACUGAGACACGGUCCAGACUCCUACGGGAGGCAGCAGUAGGGAAUCUUCCGCAAUGGGCGAAAGCCUGACGGAGCAACGCCGCGUGAGUGAAGAAGGUCUUCGGAUCGUAAAACUCUGUUAUUAGGGAAGAACAAAUGUGUAAGUAACUAUGCACGUCUUGACGGUACCUAAGCAGAAAGCCACGGCUAACUACGU